AGAGUUUGAUCAUGGCUCAGAUUGAACGCUGGCGGCAGGCUUAACACAUGCAAGUCGAACGGUAACAUGAGUGCUUGCACUUGAUGACGAGUGGCGGACGGGUGAGUAAAGUAUGGGGAUCUGCCAAAUGGAGGGGGACAACAGUUGGAAACGACUGCUAAUACCGCAUAAAGUUGAGAGACCAAAGUACGGUUCCGAAAGGACGUGCGCCAUUUGAUGAACCCAUAUGGGAUUAGCUAGUUGGUGGGGUAAAGGCUCACCAAGGCGACGAUCUCUAGCUGGUCUGAGAGGAUGACCAGCCACACUGGAACUGAGACACGGUCCAGACUCCUACGGGAGGCAGCAGUGGGGAAUAUUGCACAAUGGGGGAAACCCUGAUGCAGCCAUGCCGCGUGUAUGAAGAAGGCCUUCGGGUUGUAAAGUACUUUCGGUAGUGAGGAAGUUGUGUGUAUGAAAAGUGCAUGCAGUUGACGUUAGCUACAGAAGAAGCACCGGCUAACUCCGUGCCAGCAGCCGCGGUAAUACGGAGGGUGCGAGCGUUAAUCCGAAUGACUGGGCGUAAAGGGCAUGUAGGCGGAUAAUUAAGUUAGGUGUGAAAGCCCUGGGCUCAACCUAGGAAUUGCACUUAAAACUGGUUAACUAGAGUAUUGUAGAGGAAGGUAGAAUUCCACGUGUAGCGGUGAAAUGCGUAGAGAUGUGGAGGAAUACCGGUGGCGAAGGCGGCCUUCUGGACAGAUACUGACGCUGAGAUGCGAAAGCGUGGGGAGCAAACAGGAUUAGAUACCCUGGUAGUCCACGCCGUAAACGAUGGAUACUCGUUGUUGGGGGUUACCCUUCAGUGACUAAGCGAAAGUAAUAAGUAUCCCACCUGGGGAGUACGACCGCAAGGUUGAAACUCAAAUGAAUUGACGG
This 912-nucleotide ribosomal RNA is filed under the name uncultured Enterobacteriaceae bacterium. RNAcentral describes it as "bacterial SSU rRNA". It matches the Rfam family "Bacterial small subunit ribosomal RNA", at positions 8 to 916 of the family's 1533-position model. Lineage: Bacteria; Pseudomonadati; Pseudomonadota; Gammaproteobacteria; Enterobacterales; Enterobacteriaceae. The record is from RNAcentral.